CUUGCACGUGGGGCUGAGGGGAAGGUGCGCGAGGGAGCGGUGCCACAGGCGCCGGCGCUGUACCCUUUCUGUUCGGCACGCCGGGGGCUGGGGCACAGCGGGGCGCAGCAGUGACCCGGGACAGGACCCUUCCCCUUUUUACACGGGAGCUGCCCUCUUGCUGUGAGGAGGCAGGUCCUGGCUCACAUCCCAAGUUGGUUGUGAGGACAAGAUGGAGGUUUUUCAAAGCAUAUGGGCAUCUCUGGGGACACAUAGCCCGUGGUAUGCACCCAGCAUUUAAACCAGAGCCCUUAGUUGUGUGAGUGGGUCUCUCCUGCAGAUCCCCACACUUUGCAGUCAACGUUUUGAUAACUUUAUUGAUCGCAUUUAUCUUAGUACAGCAGAUACUACAGCAGCGGUCAAGGCUCACUUUGAGCGCAGAGGUUUGCAGUGGAUGCUGCACAUGCAAGGAGGGCGACGCAGCUGGCAGCCCAAAGACAUGGCAGUCUGUAAUGAUGCUCUUCUUCAGGGGCAAUCCCUUCAUCAUGUUUUCAGUUCUGUCCCGAGUCAGGCCAGGCAGAGCCCAGAGCCCAGUAUCCCGGCUGCAGCCAUCUGCGCCGAAUCCUUGAUGCUGAUGGAGUCAUAUGCCCUUAAACAAAAUGAGAGACAUACAGAAGUUACAUGAUAGAGCUUUGUAUGGGAACACAGACAAUAUGCAUGUCUGUAUGCAGCUUGGAGAACAGUAUGAAUGUAAUUUUCUCUGUAUGGCAUCCACAGGGGCCCUUGGACAUUUGGAUACAUAAAGAAGCUGUUUUUAUCUCCUUGGCCAAAAUGAUCAGUCCCUGGAAUAAGCAGGUAAAAAAGCAUGAUGUUCAGCGUGCUGUUAGUUUACCUUCACCACGUGAUAUUCAGUUUGCUUUUAAAAUGCUUACACUGUGGCUGCCCCUUUGGCUGCCUGUGCUGCUAGUGGUGAUGGG
Molecule: long non-coding RNA, 956 nt
Filed under: Apteryx owenii (little spotted kiwi)
Lineage: Eukaryota; Metazoa; Chordata; Aves; Apterygiformes; Apterygidae
Description: lncRNA (ENSAOWG00000011098.1)
Source: RNAcentral